This 466-nucleotide ribosomal RNA is filed under the name uncultured bacterium. RNAcentral describes it as "bacterial SSU rRNA". It matches the Rfam family "Bacterial small subunit ribosomal RNA", at positions 330 to 793 of the family's 1533-position model. The record is from RNAcentral.
CCCAGACUCCUACGGGAGGCAGCAGUGAGGAAUAUUGGUCAAUGGGCGGGAGCCUGAACCAGCCAAGUCGCGUGAGGGAAGACGGUCCUACGGAUUGUAAACCUCUUUUGCCGGGGAGCAACGGGGUCCUUGCGAGGGCCCAAUGAGAGUACCCGGAGAAAAAGCAUCGGCUAACUCCGUGCCAGCAGCCGCGGUAAUACGGAGGGUGCGAGCGUUAUCCGGAUUUAUUGGGUUUAAAGGGUGCGCAGGCGGUCUGUUAAGUCAGCGGUCAAAGCCCGGGGCUCAACCCCGUCGUGCCGUUGAAACUGAUGUUCUUGAGUGGGCGAGAAGUAUGCGGAAUGCGUGGUGUAGCGGUGAAAUGCAUAGAUAUCACGCAGAACUCCGAUUGCGAAGGCAGCAUACCGGCGCCCAACUGACGCUGAAGCACGAAAGCGUGGGUAUCGAACAGGAUUAGAUACCCGCGUAU